AUUGAACGCUGGCGGAAUGCUUUACACAUGCAAGUCGAACGGUAGAGGGGGCAACCCCCUUGAGAGUGGCGAACGGGUGAGUAAUAUAUCGGAACGUGCCCAGUCGUGGGGAUAACGUAGCGAAAGUUACGCUAAUACCGCAUACGAUCUACGGAUGAAAGCGGGGGACUCGCAAGAGCCUCGCGCGAUUGGAGCGGCCGAUAUCAGAUUAGGUAGUUGGUGGGGUAAAGGCUCACCAAGCCAACGAUCUGUAGCUGGUCUGAGAGGACGACCAGCCACACUUUGGAACUGAGACACGGUCCAGACUCCUACGGAGGCAGCAGUGGGGAAUUUUGGGUACAAUGGACGCAAGUCUGAUCCAGCCAUUCCGCGUGCAGGAUGAAGG
This 385-nucleotide ribosomal RNA is filed under the name uncultured bacterium. Its description in RNAcentral is "bacterial SSU rRNA". It matches the Rfam family "Bacterial small subunit ribosomal RNA", at positions 30 to 414 of the family's 1533-position model. The record is from RNAcentral.